Molecule: microRNA, 21 nt
Filed under: Chrysemys picta (Painted turtle)
Lineage: Eukaryota; Metazoa; Chordata; Testudines; Emydidae
Description: cpi-miR-34b-3p
Gene: cpi-miR-34b-3p
Source: miRBase by way of RNAcentral
AUCACUAACUUUACUGCCAUC